RNAcentral lists this long non-coding RNA (1745 nucleotides) under Paramuricea clavata. Lineage: Eukaryota; Metazoa; Cnidaria; Anthozoa; Malacalcyonacea; Plexauridae. The record is from RNAcentral.
AACAGCGAAAGCUUAAGUUAAAUGAGAUAGUUAAAGAGAAUUAAAAAGUUUAGAGUAGUUGUUGUUGUUCAAGAAGAACUGUAAAUUGAUAUUAUUGGUUUAUUGUCUUCGAAAAGUUUAUAAGACUUAGAAGAAGGAUAUUACAAAUACAAGAAAGCCUCCUUGGCCAGCGCGUGUCGCUGUGUCUGGUCAAGGAGGGCAACAAGCGUAAACAAGAUGAAGAUGGAGACAUACAUUUUUGUUCGCUCUUGCCCCCCAAGUAACAAUUGGGGGCUCAGGCGGGAAACCACUCUCUCGGAUAAGAGCGGUUGUUUUUGUUGUCAGUCUGAUGAUUGUCCUUUUGGUGUUAUAUUAUUGAUGGAUCUGUUUCCAGUUUUAAUGUCAUGCAGAUGAAAUUGUCGACUUAGCCAGAGGCUGAAGUACAAGAGUGCAACGCUGAAGGUUCACUACGUCUUCGUCAAAAGGUUCAUUCUGCUAAGAUUGUGCGAUUUGUGCCCAACGUCUACUCAGUGAUGCCUAACAGUGGGGAAAGAUUUUGUAUUGUUGACCACGUUUAGUGGUUUGAUACAGUGGUUUUUACACUGGUUUGUUAGUGGUUUGAUACAGUGGUUUUUACACUGGUUUGUUAGUGGUUUGUCACAGUGGUUUAUUGCCCUGUUUUGUUACAAAGUUGUAAUAAUUUGAUAAAUCUCCCGUAAGUUAAAGUAAUAAUUAUUAUUAAAGUACAAAAUGUUGUUUAAAUUUAAGAUUAAAAAGGGAGUUUGUAAUUUAGUUUGAAGAUGUAGUUCUUCUGUUGUUGAAUCUUCCCUAUUCUGUUAUACUGUUGCUAGAGUUUAAGGACGCUAUUCUUGCUGUAUCGAGUUUUCCCAAAUUUAAUUCCUUAUAGAGCAUUUUAAAGUAUAAUUAUAACAUUUAAAGAACAAUCAUUUGAUAUGGAUAUAAUGGAAGUUACGAACAGUUAACGAAAGACAAACUUUCUUUUUUUUCAAGAGGGUGAGUGUGACGUGAAGUCAGUCACGUCAUAAACAUUCUUAAUUACGACAUUACGUAAUUAUGCUGAGUCAUGGUUUUGCUAUAUUUAUCUUAUACGUAAUAUCUAAAAAUAGCGUUUAUGUAAUGUUCUAUAAAUAUCUAUUGGAUAGUAUAUAAACAGCGAAAGCUUAAGUUAAAUGAGAUAGUUAAAGAGAAUUAAAAAGUUUAGAGUAGUUGUUGUUGUUCAAGAAGAAUAAAUUGAUAUUAUUGGUUUAUUGUCGUCGAAAAGUUUAUAAGACUUAGAAGAAGGAUAUUACAAAUACAAGAAAGCCUCCUUGGCCAGCGCGUGUCGCUGUGUCUGGUCAAGGAGGGCAACGAGCGUAAACAAGAUGAAGAUGGAGACAUACAUUUUUGUUCGUUCUCGCCCGCGAACGUAACAAAUUAUCAUAAACACUUUCUUGACGACAAUGAAAAAGUAGAAAUAAAUUUUAUGCGCAUCAUGUUGCAUUUUUUACCCCCUUCAGGCCUAACAAAGUUUUAAACUAUAGAUAUUAUCCAGACUUUUUAUUGUUGCGAGCUUUCGUUUGUUUUGGUAGUUAUUCUACAAAUUGUCUGUUAUUUACAACCAUAAAAACAUGUGAUUUCGCCUACAUAUUUGAUUUACAGCACUUUAAAAGGCUCAAUUACCCUGGAUAACCCACAAUGCAUUGCGCUAUACAUGAAAUUCAAGAUGGCGUCGCUAUUGAUAAAUAUGUGAAUUCCGGGACGGCGGG